ACUCCUACGGGAGGCAGCAGUGGGGAAUAUUGCACAAUGGGCGCAAGCCUGAUGCAGCCAUGCCGCGUGUAUGAAGAAGGCCUUCGGGUUGUAAAGUACUUUCAGUCAGUGAGGAGGUGGGUAUGUUAAUAGCAUAUUCAUUUGACGUUAGCAUGACAGAAGAAGCACCGGCUAACUCCGUGCCAGCAGCCGCGGUAAUACGGAGGGUGCGAGCGUUAAUCGGAAUUACUGGGCGUAAAGCGCAUGCAGGUGGUUUGUUAAGUCAGAUGUGAAAGCCCGGGGCUCAACCUCGGAAUUGCAUUUG
This 304-nucleotide ribosomal RNA is filed under the name uncultured bacterium. Its description in RNAcentral is "bacterial SSU rRNA". It matches the Rfam family "Bacterial small subunit ribosomal RNA", at positions 335 to 629 of the family's 1533-position model. The record is from RNAcentral.